This 253-nucleotide ribosomal RNA is filed under the name uncultured bacterium. RNAcentral's name for it is "partial 16S ribosomal RNA". It matches the Rfam family "Bacterial small subunit ribosomal RNA", at positions 524 to 776 of the family's 1533-position model. The record is from RNAcentral.
UACAGAGGGGGCAAGCGUUGUUCGGAAUUACUGGGCGUAAAGGGCGCGUAGGCGGCCUGCUAAGUCGAACGUGAAAUCCCUGGGCUCAACCCAGGAACUGCGUCCGAUACUGGUUGGCUUGAAUCCGGGAGAGGGAUGUGGAAUUCCAGGUGUAGCGGUGAAAUGCGUAGAUAUCUGGAGGAACACCCGUGGCGAAGGCGGCCAACUGGGCCGGACCUGACGCUGAGGCGCGAAGGCGUGGGGAGCGAACAGG